AAUAUUAAUCACAAUCGCAUUAGCAUAAAGGUCAUUUGACACAGCAGGAGGUUAAAAUCUGCCACAACAUUAAACAGUAUGAGCAACCUUUGAAAAGUAAAGUAAACAGACUCAAUG
Molecule: long non-coding RNA, 117 nt
Organism: Etheostoma spectabile (orangethroat darter)
Lineage: Eukaryota; Metazoa; Chordata; Actinopteri; Perciformes; Percidae
Exons: 3
Source: RefSeq, a predicted model, not a curated record